Molecule: small nuclear RNA, 54 nt
Filed under: Spinacia oleracea (spinach)
Lineage: Eukaryota; Viridiplantae; Streptophyta; Magnoliopsida; Caryophyllales; Amaranthaceae
Description: U5 spliceosomal RNA
Rfam family: U5 spliceosomal RNA
About the family: U5 RNA is a component of both types of known spliceosome. The precise function of this molecule is unknown, though it is known that the 5' loop is required for splice site selection and p220 binding, and that both the 3' stem-loop and the Sm site are important for Sm protein binding and cap methylation.
Source: Rfam by way of RNAcentral
UGAGCACAAAUCGAACCAUUCUUUCGUCUUUUACUAAAGAAUAUCGUGUGCUCG